RNAcentral lists this ribosomal RNA (219 nucleotides) under Megamonas funiformis. RNAcentral's name for it is "partial 16S ribosomal RNA". It matches the Rfam family "Bacterial small subunit ribosomal RNA", at positions 1 to 213 of the family's 1533-position model. Lineage: Bacteria; Bacillati; Bacillota; Negativicutes; Selenomonadales; Selenomonadaceae. The record is from RNAcentral.
UUUUUGGAGAGUUUGAUCCUGGCUCAGGACGAACGCUGGCGGCGUGCUUAACACAUGCAAGUCGAACGGGGUGUUUAUUUCGGUAAACACCAAGUGGCGAACGGGUGAGUAACGCGUAAGCAAUCUACCUUCAAGAUGGGGACAACACUUCGAAAGGGGUGCUAAUACCGAAUGAAUGUAAGAGUAUCGCAUGAGACACUUACUAAAGGAGGCCUCUGA